RNAcentral lists this ribosomal RNA (496 nucleotides) under uncultured bacterium. RNAcentral describes it as "partial 16S ribosomal RNA". It matches the Rfam family "Bacterial small subunit ribosomal RNA", at positions 28 to 506 of the family's 1533-position model. The record is from RNAcentral.
GAUGAACGCUGGCGGCGUGCCUAAUACAUGCAAGUCGAGCGAACAGACGAGGAGCUUGCUCCUCUGACGUUAGCGGCGGACGGGUGAGUAACACGUGGAUAACCUACCUAUAAGACUGGGAUAACUUCGGGAAACCGGAGCUAAUACCGGAUAAUAUAUUGAACCGCAUGGUUCAAUAGUGAAAGACGGUUUUGCUGUCACUUAUAGAUGGAUCCGCGCCGCAUUAGCUAGUUGGUAAGGUAACGGCUUACCAAGGCAACGAUGCGUAGCCGACCUGAGAGGGUGAUCGGCCACACUGGAACUGAGACACGGUCCAGACUCCUACGGGAGGCAGCAGUAGGGAAUCUUCCGCAAUGGGCGAAAGCCUGACGGAGCAACGCCGCGUGAGUGAUGAAGGUCUUCGGAUCGUAAAACUCUGUUAUUAGGGAAGAACAAAUGUGUAAGUAACUAUGCACGUCUUGACGGUACCUAAACAGAAAACCACGGCUAACUACGU